RNAcentral lists this unclassified non-coding RNA (387 nucleotides) under soil metagenome. RNAcentral describes it as "partial contains 5.8S ribosomal RNA, internal transcribed spacer 2, and large subunit ribosomal RNA". The stretch from base 1 to 120 matches the Rfam family "5.8S ribosomal RNA", at positions 35 to 154 of the family's 154-position model. The record is from RNAcentral.
GAUGAAGAACGCAGCGAAAUGCGAUAAGUAAUGUGAAUUGCAGAAUUCAGUGAAUCAUCGAAUCUUUGAACGCACAUUGCGCCCAUUAGUAUUCUAGUGGGCAUGCCUGUUCGAGCGUCAUUAAUUCCACUUAAGCCCUGCUUAGUGUUGGGAAUCUACUCUAGUGGUGCUACCCCGGAGCUACCCCUGAAAGGGGGCUGGCCCGGUAGCUACCCUGUAGUUCCUCAAAGAUAGUGCGCGGAGUUGCGUGGUCCUCUGAGCUUAGUAACUAUACACCUAGCUUUUGAGUGUCCCGCGGCGCCUGCCGUUUAAACCCCAUCUUUUAAUGGUUGACCUCGGAUCAGGUAGGAAUACCCGCUGAACUUAAGCAUAUCAAUAAGCGGAGGA